Molecule: ribosomal RNA, 492 nt
Filed under: uncultured bacterium
Lineage: Bacteria
Description: partial 16S ribosomal RNA
Rfam family: Bacterial small subunit ribosomal RNA
Source: RNAcentral
AGUGAACGCUGGCGGUAGGCCUAACACAUGCAAGUCGAACGGCAGCACAGUAAGAGCUUGCUCUUACGGGUGGCGAGUGGCGGACGGGUGGGGAAUACAUCGGAAUCUACUUUUUCGGGGGGGAUAACGUAGGGAAACUUACGCUAAUACCGCAUAUGACCUACGGGUGAAAGCAGGGGAUCUUCGGACCUUGCGCGAUUGAAUGAGCCGAUGUCGGAUUAGCUAGUUGGCGGGGUAAAGGCCCACCAAGGCGACGAUCCGUAGCGGGUCUGAGAGGAUGAUCAGCCACACUGGAACUGAGACACGGUCCAGACUCCUACGGGAGGCAGCAGUGGGGAAUAUUGCACAAUGGGCGCAAGCCUGACCCAGCCAUACCGCGUGAGUGAUGAAGGCCUUCGGGUUGUAAAGCCCUUUUGUUGGGAAAGAACAGCAGCAGGUUUAUACCCCGCUGUUCUGACGGUACCCAAAGAAUAAGCACCGGCUAACUUCGUG